AAUUCUUAAAGAUAGUCAUUAUUCAGAGACACUUAAAGUCUUGCUAUCUUCCCUAAUUUUAAUAAUGCAAAAUCCUUUAGAAAAAAUUAUAGAUAUCUCUUUUUUUUUUUUUUUAGAUGGAGUUUCACUCUUGUUGACCAGGCUAGAGUCCAAUGGCGCAAUCUCGGCUCACUGCACCCUCCGCCUCCCGGGUUCAAGCGAUUCUCCUGCCUCAGCCUCCUGAGUAGCUGGGAUUACAGGAGUGUGUCACUACACCCAGCUAAUUUUGUAUUUUUAGUAGAGAUGGGGUUUCUCCACAUUGGUCAGGCUGGUCUCGAACUCCCGAUCUCAGGUGAUCUGCCUGCCUCAGUCUCCCAAAGUGCUGGGAUUUAUAGGUGUGAGCCACCGUGCCCGGCUGAUGUCUCUCUUUUUUUUUACAAAAAUUAUUUUUGCGAAGUAUUUAAUGUAAAAAAUACAUUUCCAAAGGCAACAAUCUUUAGUCAAUGUACUACUCUUUUCAAAAAAUAUAUUUUAAAAUGUUUGACUUCUACUUAAAAUGCAUAUUUUCUAUUGUAUAGAGCUUAGAAAUAAUUCUAGUCCAUGGCCUUCAUUGUAUAGAUGAGGAAAUGAAGACAUACAAGGUGACUUGCCCAAGGUCACUCAGUGUUAGCUGACAUUGGCACCUUCCUCUAUUACUCUCAGACAACUACUUGUUUUUUACAAAACAAAAUCUCCAUACUAUAGUACCAUAGUUUCAAAACAAGACUGUAUGGUGAACAGCCAGUCUUAUUAGGUAAAGUAUUUCCAUGCCAAAUGUAAGUCACAUAGGGCAUUUUGUUCUUGGAGUAAUUAAACAAUAUGACCCACAAAAGUUGAAGGAUUAUUCUCAGUUGUCUCCUGCAUCUAUUUUGGUACAGGAAUGUAAACAUGGAACAAGAAGAUGGCUGUCACUCAAAAUAAAUUGCUGCAUUGGCCAGACGUUUUGGCUUUUCUGGUUGAGGGCCCAGUGGUACAUUGUGCUCUUGGCUUCCAGAAAAUGGAGUGGAUCCCAAGGCUGCUGGUUCAUGCAACUGCAAGACCUAGUAUGUUUUUUCUUACUAUUAGCCAUGUAUAGGCUGCAAGUCCUUCGACCAGGAUGAUUUAACAACUGAGUCAGUUGAUUAUAUAGAGAACCCCACUCUAUCUCAGUGUACUGAUUUACACACCUUAACUAGCUGCAGAAAUCAGAUGAAUUUCACUUAAUAAUGGGGUAGAUAGGAUCCAGUAUGGCGCCCACUAUUAUAGUUUCUUCACUAUUUUGCCCCUUCUAAAAGUGGCAUCUUUUUUUUCCACUAUUUUUGACCACUUGAAAAAGAGACCAGGAAACAAGGAUAAUGAAUGGGCCCCAUAUCAACCAGUUUUUUUUUUUUUUUUGGUGUUUUUCUUAUAAUGUCUCCCAUUUAAAUAUUCUUUCUGUUUCUCUAAAUAUCACUCCUUUGCUAGGUCUGAAUCAUCCUUAACAAGUAUAUUUUUUGAUACCGUUGUAUUUUUCAGGGGAAAAGGAAAAAAAAAACCUUUUUAUUUAAGGAUUUUUGAACACUAAUAUCUUUUACCUAGAAAGAAUUUCUCUUUUUACUUAAGUUUGAACCAGGAACUUGAAACACUAUACAUUUUCUGUUACCUUUGGCAAUAAAAUUAAAUCUGAAGUGAAAGAACUGAGUAAUCUACAACAUAUCCAUUUGUCAAUGUAACAUCCUGAGUAGCACACUUUAAACUUUUAAGCAUAUACAUUUUUAAAAGAUCUCCCUAUAAAUAGCUAAUGGGGAAAAUCUUGAUGUAUGAAAGCUCCGAGUCAUCUGUCUCACCCCACUGCUACUGUCAUGAGAGAGGGAACAGAAUUUGUCAUUAAUGGUUCAGCUCAUGGGGAAGUCCCUUUCUGAAUUUGAAAAUGGCUGUAUAUGUUUGCAGAUAAUGGUCCAGGUGCUUUUAAGUAUCUUGUAUCUAAGGAACAUGAUUUUUAAAAUCAUAAUUUAGAAAUAAAAUUAAGUAAUUAAAAUAAUAAAACAUGUCAAUGGGCAUUAUCAUAGAAAGUUUUUGAAACUCUGUAAUUUGGGUCUAGUCGGUCAACCCUGUCUUAUGGAUGACAGUGGCAUAGGCCAAGAUGUAGGUCAGGAUGCUGUAACCUAGUGGUCAGCUAAGGAAUGCUGCUGUAUGAGAUUGAAGUGAAAUUAGUUUGUACUACCAUGCAUUGGCCUUGUAGAAGUCCAAUGCCCUCAUCCAGAGUUCUGUGACUCUCUGGGAUGGGGAGGCCGGAGCUUAUAUUUUCAUGAUCACCUUUGGCUCUGUUUGUGCAUCUGAUGAAGUAUUCUUCAUUCUUCACCUUGAGGCUGUCCCUACAUCUCAAUCCUGGUGUUGACACAAAGGGUUUGGUCAGCGAUUGGUGUUUUUGAUACUCUUUUCACCCUAGAGCAACCUUAAUGCAGGUUGAUUGCAUGAAGUUUCCUUAGUGAGAGGGCCCAUCAUUGUUCAACAAUUGUAAACAACAUGAAAUUGUACAUUAGAAAAUCCUUGCCAUUUAUGAACCAAAGUUGGUUUUCCUUCAGUUUG
Molecule: long non-coding RNA, 2565 nt
Filed under: Homo sapiens (human)
Lineage: Eukaryota; Metazoa; Chordata; Mammalia; Primates; Hominidae
Description: HSALNT0115489
Source: RNAcentral